UCCAUUGUUAAACUCCUGGGUCUAUACCAGUGGCAUCCAAGAGUCACCAUUGCCCUGGCAAUGUUCCUGCUUCUCCUCCAGAAUUCCUUCUGUCUGUCCAUCAUCCACAGUGGGACCAGAGACUAGGAUUUCAUCAACCUAAAUCAUACAAUGUAACUUUUCCUGCUUAAAAUGGCCACAUCAAGCCUUUGAGGUUUUAUAUGAUAUGGCUUGGCUCCUGCCUACCUCCCAGGACUUGUAUUUUUCUCCUGCUGACUCGUGACCUUCUUCUAACUUAAAAGCUAGUGUUCCUAACUGGCAUUUCCAGGAUGGGGGAAGAUGUAGUUCCCACCCCUUGCUACCUUAGCUUGGCUUCGUCAGCAUUAGACGGGGGGACAGCUCUUCUCAGGAGUCAUCAUCAGAUAGACCCAGGUACCCUCAGAAGGUGCAAAAGUUUCAAAUGUUGUCAUCAGUUCCCAUGGAUUCAGGCCGACGGAGUCUGGCCUCUGCUCUAGAAAGUUCCAUACCCACAUGGCUCAGUUUCAGAGACGCCACUAUUUUGUCCGUUUGGAAAUUUAGAACAAGCCCUAAUUCUAGGACUCUGCCUUGUGUUCACGGCACACCUCAAGCUAAAUUUAUAUUUUCAUGACUAGGCUUCCUUUCCUGGACUCCGUCUCGUCUCCAAAUUGUCAGUGGUUUCUGCUCUUCUCAUCUGAGUGGCCACAUGAUUAUGGGAACUUCCAAGAGGCCGAACAAUUUUACAUUCUAACCAGCAAUGACUAAGGAUGGGCUUGGGCCGAUCCUAAGAACAUCGCACAAAAGUGUUGAUAUCAAUAAGUGAAUCAUUAAAAGACAUUCACACGAUAAGGAAGAGCAUCAGUUCAGAAUCGCGAAGUGAGAUAAAAUUAUCCCCUUCUUCUCGAUUGAACAGACCGUGAUAGUUAAUUAUGAGUCAGUUCUAAAAAGUUCUGAAGGCAGCGUGUCGGGGCAUCCACACAGAUUAUCUGUGGUAGGCACAGACUUUGAAGUAGUCACACCUCAGCUGUUCGGAUCCACUCUUUCUUCGCCUGGGAUCUGCUUAGCCCCACAGCCGCCCUUUCUGCUGAUGGUGAAAACCUCUUAACCCCGUCAUUGAAAGAAAUUAAAACUUGUAAUUCCCCUCAGA
Long non-coding RNA from Peromyscus eremicus (cactus mouse), 1144 nucleotides. RefSeq lists it as uncharacterized. The transcript is spliced from 2 exons. The record is from RefSeq and is a predicted model, not a curated record. Lineage: Eukaryota; Metazoa; Chordata; Mammalia; Rodentia; Cricetidae.